CGAACGCUGGCGGCGUGCUUAACACAUGCAAGUCGAACGCGAAAGGGACUUCGGUCCUGAGUAAAGUGGCGCACGGGUGAGUAACGCGUAGAUAACCUGUCUUCAUGUCUGGAAUAAUACGCCGAAAGGGGUACUAAUACCGGAUAUUCUUGCUUUUCAUAAGUUAUGCAAGCAAAGGUGGCCUCUGCAUAUGCUACUGCAUGAAGAGGGGUCUGCGUACCAUUAGCUAGUAGGUGGGGUAAUGGCCUACCUAGGCGACGAUGGUUAGCGGGUCUGAGAGGAUGAUCCGCCACACUGGCACUGGAACACGGGCCAGACUCCUACGGGAGGCAGCAGUGAGGAAUAUUGCGCAAUGGGGGAAACCCUGACGCAGCGACGCCGCGUGAGUGAAGGAAGGCCUUCGGGUCGUAAAGCUCUGUCAAGAGGAAAGAAGUGUACGAUGGCUAAUACCUGUUGUAUUUGACGGUACCUCUAAAGGAAGCACCGGCUAACUCCGUGCCAGCCGCAGC
RNAcentral lists this ribosomal RNA (509 nucleotides) under uncultured bacterium. RNAcentral's name for it is "bacterial SSU rRNA". It matches the Rfam family "Bacterial small subunit ribosomal RNA", at positions 30 to 518 of the family's 1533-position model. The record is from RNAcentral.